AACAGAGUAAUUGAUACACAAAGAUACAGUUAAGUGUCUUUCGUGAACUUGUAAACAUUAUUUUGUUUUGGAGACUAAUCGGUUAAUUAUUUGUUUUAUGUUACUACACUGAGAAUCAUACUCCUGGAUUAAGUGCGAAUUAAUUUAAUUUGUGAUAAGUGCGUAAGAAUAGUUUUGUUGUGACAGGAGUAUAACCUAAAAGUGCUUUUAUAAAUUUCUUUUUGCUUCAUAAUUGUGCUCUAUAAUAUUUUAUUUAAUGUGUAAAAUUGUUAUUAAGUGUUAUUAUGUGAAAGUGUUUUGUUGAUUAUGAUAGCAGGUGAUGCUGUUUGAAUACACCCUCAUUCCGUCACGGAAAGGCAACUACAUGCUUCUUUUGGAUGGAUACACAUAUCAUAAAGACAGAUCCAGUUUGAACUAUUAUUGUGCGAAAAGGUGCGCACAAGGUUGCAAGGCCAAAGUAAAGUUGUGCGAUGACGGGACUAUUUUAUACGCGAAUAGAUUACAUUUUCAUAAACCACCAGUUGUAAAAGAAAAUUUUUGGUGACAAAGUAUUUCGAAAAAUUUACAAAUUGUGAAAAGUAUUCGUUUACAAGCACUCUAUGUUCUUAUGUUUUAAAAUUCUGUUCGUAUAUAUUUGACGUCAAAAUUUGUAUUAUUUUCAUUUCUUACGCGUUUUUAAUAUCGUUCAAAAACGAUCCAUCAUUUUUACUAGGGCUAAUGCUAAAUAUAUUUUUAAAAGGGAAGGCGAAAUCCCAGAAGACUCGUAUGGGCACAUAACCAUUUCACCCGUAUUGCAACUAUUUAUACGAUUUUAAAGGUGUUUUCUUGAACAAAUUUUUUUAAGGAAGGAGGUGUUAGGUUUAUGUUCUUUAGUGAAUUUAGAUGAUCAUACAAACGUGAAAUAUAAAGAUAGAAGAUUCAUAAUACAAAACAAUUUCAGGGCUCAGAUUUAUCAACAUUGCGGGGGGACGAAAGCUACUCCAACUUAAUGGUUUUACGUAUUCCAAACACCCGAAUACUCACAAUUACUACUGUUCCAAAAAAGGCAAGGGAUGUAAGGCAAAAGUGAAAAUGUCUCCUGAAGGUUUUGUGGUAGAGAAAACACCAGACUCGGUCCAUAAUCAUCGCCGGCCGUGUUAUAUAUUGUCCACAGAUAUAUAUGUGAAGGUUUCAAGUUAAAAAUAUUUCCCUGAUUUGAAGGUACGUUCGUGAUAAAAUUUACACUAGGGAUUCCAGGAGUGUAUAAAAAUAAGGAAUAAUAGAAUAUAUGUUUUGAAAUUAUGAUUAUUUUAAGAUUGAUACGGCAGCCAUUUCAGAAUUUGAUAUAACUUGUAUGUUAACAUACUUAACUAACUUUAAAUACUUACAUAGUGUAGGCCUUAAGGUAUUUUGUUACUUAACUUAUCAAAGAUGCCUUUAAUUGGUUGAUAUUAUUUUAGUUAUUCAUUUCUUCAAAACCUUACAAUUAACAACAGGUGUUUUACUUAGGUUUUGAACUAUAAAUUAAAUGUAAUAUAUAUAUACAUAUAUAUAUGAUUAUAACAAGUAUAAUAUAAAAUUACAUAUAUAUUAAUACAUGUACUAAACGUAUAUAAUCUCACUUAAAUAUGUUUAUUGACAUAGUUUCUAAUAUCAUUUGACAAUGUUUUGUUUUUGGGAAUAAAUUAUAUAAUAUUAAUAGCUUAACUUCUUUAUUAUUAUCUGUUAAGAGUUUAGGGUGAAAUGAAAAAAAAAACAUACAUUCAUAAUGUCGUCUCCAUCCCUCACGGGGUAGACAGAGCCAACAGUUUCGAAAAUACUAAUGGGCUCACGUUCCACUAUAGGUAUGGAAAUGUAUAGUAUAAUAUGGAAAUAGAAGAAUUAUUUACACCAUUAUGCCAAAUUUAAGACUUAUUUAUAUUGUGGAGGACAAAAGUCAUCCAUCUCAGUUUGGUCCAAAGGUUGAACUGGCAGAGAAUGCCUUAUGGCAUUAAAUCCACUUGUUGAACAUUUACGUCCAUAAAGCUUAAAUAAAUCUUUCAGUCAUCUGGGCCCCCGCCAAGUUGAGCAAAAAAAAAAGCGACACGGCCGUACCACCCUUUUCUCGAAGCAAUUCAGGCUAUUUUCGACUCCCCUAUAAUUUCGUUGUGGAUAAAACAAAAAGUCUGAAUUCAUGCGAUGUCCAAGUCGAUCUAUUUGUUUAAAACGUUUAUUAAUAUUUUAAUAUUGGCAUAAUAAUAAGAAAUGACUUGAUAUUACAUGUAUCUCACAACUUUUACAGUAGAAAAUGUGAGCUGCGAGACUUGGGUUUUUUACAGGAUGUUUUUGAUGGCAUUUUUUUAUUCGCUCACUAUGUAUUUUGGUACAUUAGUCUCAAUUUCAUAAGGCGAUUCUAAUUAAUAAUUAUUUUCAACAGGUUACCAGUGCGUUUUUAUACCGUCAAAGAUGGGUCACCAACUACUUCUAGUCAACGGUUAUACAUUUUCAAAAACAAAGAAUAACCAUUUCGUAUGGGUCUGCUCAAAGAAAGACGUUAAAUGCAGAGCGAAAUUGAAGAUGAACGAAGCCGGUAAAACAUUCAAUUGACGCUCACCAAGGAAGGGAAUACAGUCUACGUUUAUAAGAACCACACAUUUUCAACCAAAGGUCGGGCAAAGAGGUCCCUGUUCUGCUCACGGUAUUUCCGAGGAAAAUGCCCUGCAAAAUUGAUGCUCAAUGCUGAUGGCAAAAUAAUUUUCGUCAAUAAUUUACAUAAUCAUGAUCCACCGAAGUAUACGAUCAGUGAAGAUGGUAUGAUCGAGAGAGAUAUAUACAAGCCGUGGGUGUGUAAAAGUGAAGGAAAGUCAAGUGAUAAUGUAUGACAAAUGCUUGGACAUCACCUUGAAAUGUCUUGUCUGUAGAAGGAUUUUUAGUUAAACGAUGGUCAAUGUAUAAUUUCAUAAAUUAAUUAAUUUAUAUAUUUCAAUAGUACAGUUAAUUACAUAUCAAGUUAACCCUGCAUGGAACUUUAUGACAAGGUAAUAAGAGGGGAAUUCGCGGUGAAUUUUUUUAACAGCCUCUGUGCCGCAGCGGUUCCUUGUUCGAAUCCCGGUCAGGAUGAGAAACGAAUUUCCUCUGAUUGGCCUGGGUUCUGGAUGUAUGUAUUUAUUAUAAUUUGAUGAAAAUUGCUUAUUCUUAAAAUUGUUUCUUCUUUGUACAAAUCUUAACUUACUACAAGGCUUCUUCUUUAUUAAUCUGUGUAAUUUGUCCCGUAUAUAUACAUAAAAUCUCCCGAUUUUCCCAGAGGGGUAGGUAGGACGCCAUUAUAACCUGAUAUAUAUAAAUUAUUUUUAUUUAUUUGGUGUGCUGUUGACUGUACUGGUAACUUUAGCUGUAAUAGAUGCUGCGGCGUAGAAAAGUAGAUAUUGGCUAACGGCCGAGUGAAUAUUAUUUAGGAAUUUCUUAUAUAUGUAUUUGAUGUCGAUGAGUAUAUUUUAAGUACUAAAAUCUGGUUAGUAGUGGACCAUGUUAGCUUCUUGUAUUAAAUGUCCUUCCACUCACAAAACCGACAAAAUUCAAACGGAAGCAGCUAAUAAUAAAUAUUUUAAAGUGCUUGCAUAAUAAUUGUUUUAUGUUUUCAAAUACCUCCACGAUGUAAAUAGUUAACGUAGGUAAUUUUGUUACCGUACUUUUGCUUUCUUUUCUUAACGAAGAUUACGUAAAUAAAACUAGAUUUGGGUAAAAGAAAUUAAUGACAUUUCUCAUAAGUGUUAUUCUAGUCUUUUUAAUGAGUCAAAUUUAAGCUUUGCGAAAAAGUGGAGAGACCUUAGCUCAGCAGUGGGACGGGAACGAUUUCAUUAUAUUUAUAAAUUUAUUUGUACAUCUGCACUUUUAUUUUUAUUAUGUAUCACGCCUAAGUUUACCUACCUACUUGAAGCCAUCUUGCAGAGUUAUUUUUUACUGUUUAAAUUUGUGUUCUUAUGUAGUUUUUAAGUGACAUAUUUUGUUAAAACAUAUCGUAGUUGUUGCUUUAUGCGUAAUAAAAAUCACAUUUUAUUUGAUUUCUUUUUUUUCUAUUGAGGUUAUAAGUUGAAAGGCUUGUAAUGUGGUUUUUUUUUAAUUUUGUUUUCUUUAACUUAUGCACGUCUAUUAUGGUCUUGUAACAAUCUGUUAAUUUUUAAUUAAGGAAAAAUAAAAAAAUAAUAAUUACAUCAAAGUAAUGGAAGAUUAAUAAAAUAUGAAGCAUUUCAGGCUGGUUGGUGUCAGGUGAGUGGUACACUAUUUUUUCGCAAGCGAUAAACAUUGCCUACCUAUUAGGGAAAGGGGCGUGAUUUUAUGUAUGUAGGUACAGGAGCCCAGGGAUUCAAAGCCAACAUUCUCACCGUAUGCUAUGAAGUAUUUUCUAUAAUGGACUUAGUUUCGAGCUUACUAAGUAUAGUUAAAGCUUACUGGCUAUAUACCCAGUAAGCUAGUCCCAAAGUAAGGUUGAAACUUGUGACAUGGGAUACUAACUCAAAGAUACCUACUAAUUUGUAAUAUUUGAUAAUACAUUUUUAUGUAAAACCCUGGCCAAUCAGAUAAAGUUCUUUUCCUUCACAACCUGACCGAUAAUAGAUAUAUAAAACUUACUUAUAUGAUUAGCUGGAUGAAGUAAUGACAGAUUUAGAGCUAGUAAUCAGUUGAUAUCAUAUAAGUUAGAUUAAGCCUUUUCAUUGAUAGCAUACACAACAUAGCUUUCACAUUAAGCGAAGCAACUGGCUUGCCAAGUUUGGUUUUUGUUGCCGAUCAGCACGGAGACACACCGUGCGUCUUGUAUGGUUUUGAAGACUUGUUACGCCAUAAUGAGGAUCCAAUAUGAACUUGCAGGUAUGCUGACCUUUUUGCCAAUGGAGAACAAUAAGCAUAUUAUCUUUUACAAGGGAUACUCGUUCUCCUUUUUAAACAAGGACAAGAAAUACCUCCGGUGUUCAAGACGGAUUGUAGGGAAAUGCCACGCUCGUCUGAAAGUAAAUGCGUACGGUGCUGUGGUCAUGGAAGAUACGAUUCAUAAUCACCCCCCGCCGAAGUUUACACGAACCACCGCUGGGUUGUACUAUAAAUUGUCGUGAUUGGUCAAUCAUGCCAUCACAUUUUUAAGAAAGAAAAAAACUGAUUUUUCUAAAUAACAUCUGUAAACUGUUUAAUGUGAACAAGUGUGCUUUGCCUGUUUGGUUUGUCACUAAUUCUAGUCAUUAGUUUUAGUCUGAUGGUAUAAUUAAUAUAUUUAUUUUCCUUCUUUUCAUUUUUAGUCAGAUUUAAUAAAUCCGUCAUGAUGAAUUAGCUGUUUUAAAUUCUUUUGUAAAGAGAAAAUUUCUAAUAAAAAUUUCGCGAUGUAUGCAAGAGACCAAUUUCUCGCUUAUGUACCUACAGAAUAAGGUAGACUUUCUACUACUAUAGCGAUUUCAGAAAACCAAUACCCGUAAUCAUUAUCAACAAUGAGGACGACUCCAUCAACAAUAUAUUUCUGAAAUAUAUAAAAUACUCAAACGUUUCAAUUAACACAAUUAAGAUGUGUAUUUCACAUCCGAGUUUGAAACUAGUUAAAUUUUUUAGAAUUUCUUUGAAAUCAGUAAUGUAUAAGCGUAUAUGAUUUAAUUUCCAGCUUAAACUUCAUUUCACCAAUUUGUUUUCAGUUCCGUAUAAACUGGUUGACAAGAAAGGCGAUCCAAUAUCCACCGACGGUGACCAUCUCGUUUAUGAAGGUAUUAAAUAUCAUAAGUAUGAUACUGACGAAAAUGGAAUAGCAAGCUGGUUCUGCGCAGACAAAAAGUGUGCUGGGGGAUUCAAGACUAAGAACUCAUUUGUCAUCAGUCAAGAAAAACAUGUUUGUACUGCAGGCAAUAUUGACGUUUACAUAAAACAGAAAAUAGAAGAAUGUAAACACAGAGUUCAGUUUGAUUUCCGUUCUAUAACUGUCAUAUAUAAAGAGAUGGUGCAGGAAUAUAACAGCACUGGUAUGAAUAGAAUAAAGGAUAUGCCGGAUUUUUCUAGUAUUAAGUCAUCCUUAUAUAGAAGUAGGGAGAAAGCAAAGAAACAAACCUACGUACUACCGUACUCAUCAUGUACAUAACAUUGUGAUGACAAAAGAUUGUUUUACAUUUCUGACAAACAUCGCUUUUUGAAAUUAUAAUGUUUACGCGUAAAAUCUCAAACGUUUCAUGUACCCUAUAAGUUGAUUGGUGAGAAUGGUGAACCAAUAUCAACAGAUGGAGAUCAUAUGUUCUAUGAAGGAAUCAAAUUGGAAAAAAUAGACAUAGAUGAAGAUGGAGUAACAAGUUGGAGCUGUUCUAUCAAAAUGUGUAAUGGAGGCUUCAAGAUAAAGGAUUCCUUUGUUAUCGAUCAAGAAAAACACAUGUGUCCAGCGGGCAAUGUUGAUUUUAUUAUAAAGGAAAAAAUAGAAGAAUGCAAGCAAAGAGUGCAAAUUGAUAAGCGUUCCAUUACGACCAUCUAUAAAGAGAUUGUGAAGGAGUAUAAUAAGACUGGCAUGAAUAAAGUAAAAGAUAUGCCAGAAUUUUCCAGUAUUAAGUCUUCGUUAUACAGAAGUAGGGAAAAAGGAAAAAAGAAGUAAAUGCUUAUUAGUAUUGAAUAAAAUAAAAACAAUCAAUAUCGAUUUUAAGAAAUAAUAUGUACAAUAGUUUAUUAGUGCAAACUUAGUGUUAUCGCGUUUCGUCGGUUCGUCGUGAUAUUUUUCCUUAGCUAUGAAGUAUUGGUAAGCAAUCAAAUUAAUCUCAGAAAAGAGUUGUUGGUACAAGGCCGCACGCCUUUUGUCUUUUCUGGAUUGAAUUUUGAUUAUCGCUCACUUUUAAUACUUUUAUCGACUAUACAAAAAAUUCAAUUAAAUUCAAUCAGUUCUCUAGGUCUACAAUUAUUUAAAUUCAAUUUCGUAAAUAAAAAAAAAGGUUGGUAUUCAACAUUUUAUUCGUCUAAGUGAAUACAUAUAGCAUUAUUUUUUCAAUAAAACUGAAGUAAAAAAUAUUAUUUAACUUAAAAUUAUUUAUACUCGUAGAUUAAUACUGAUAGUACAUAAUUCUAAAUAUUAAUAUUUUGAUUCGUGUUUAUUACACUUAUAUGAUUAUUUUGUUAUGUAAUUUUUAAAUAUUUGCGAUUUUAGAGAUGCACCUUAUUUAAAAAAAUUCGUCACUUUAUUUAGAGACGUUGGUGUUUGUAUUCGAUGUUCAAAGUAAUUGACCAUUAAAGAUUUAAGAGUAAAUUUAUAUAUGGUUCUAUUGAAAUAAUUAAAUGUUUGCACUGAAUACAUGCUUGUUAUUAUGUCGAAAAAUUUAAGAUUCAUGUUUGUAGUCAUUUUAUAUAUGAACUUCUUCAUUAAUAUACUUAUCUAGUUCGUUAUGGGAAGUAAUGCACUAUUGUAAUAAUUUUAAUAAAAAGGUGUCUUGUUUUUAAAAAAUUAUAUCUUUCAAGACGUUUUUAUAAGGUCUGUUAUUUUAUUAGUAUUCGAUUGUUCAUCAUCUUUGGUACUAGUUUAGUCUGCAGUAGGUAAUUUCAUAAUUAUUAUAAAAUUUGUAUAUGUUUCUAUAAUAACAAUUAUAAUUUUGUCGUAUGGUACUUAUUAAAUAAAAUAAUGUUUUGGUCAAUCUUUCAUUCGUGUUUGAUUUUGUGUCUUGUUGUAAAUAUUUAAGAAAAUUAUAUUAAACGAAAGUAAAUUACAAUAUGAAUCAUCUUUUAUCUUAAGUCUUGUAGUAUAUGAAAAAUGACAAGUUGCUAAAAAUCUCCGAACUUAUACAAGUACUUACAAAAUUGGAAAUACGUAUACGUUAAAAGAGAAAGUGUUUUAACCAUAAUGAGCAUAGGACAUAGAGGUUUAUCUAAAAUUGUAUAAUCUCAAAUCUAAAUAGCAUGUAUUUGUCAUUGUAUAUCUUCAGUAAUCUAAAUAUACCUAAUAAAUCUCAAAAUUACUCUGAAGUUUACUCGAUUUGCUUGAUUUGUCCCUUAUAAUUUCAUUAUUUGUUUAUUUUUAAUUAUCCACAGGCGAUGACUAUAUCCUCUAUAAGGGUAUUAAAUAUAAGAAAUGUUUCACUGGUGCUAAGGGAUUAAAGAAAUGGCGCUGCGGUAUCGACAAAACGUGUACUGGAGAGUUUCAUACCCAGGAUGAAAUUAUUACCCGACAAACAGCACACUCCACUACCUGUCCAACAACAAAUAUUCAGAAAAUUAUAAAAAAGAAAAUAGAAGAAUGCAAAAGAAGAGUUCAAACAGAAAAAAAAUCUGUUGCCUCCAUCUAUAAAGAGAUCGUCAAGAUAUAUAAUGAAAGCGGUAUGAAUAAAGUGAAAGAAAUGCCACAAUUUUCAAGUGUCAAAUCAUCCUUAUAUAGAAGUAGGGAGAAGGUUAAAAAUAUGUAAUGAUAAUUCUGAAUAUUCGAAUAUAACACUUAAUCUGCGAUCAGUCUGCGACUUUUUCUGUUGUGGACAUGUGGAGGAAAUCCCUCAGAAGGAGGACCUCCUCGACUUUGAAUAUUCGAUGAAUUAAUGUCGAACUGUUGUUAUUUUAUUUAACAUAAAAAAAAUAGACAAAAUGGAUUGACUUAUGAAAAAUUAUUUAAAAAAUCAUUAUGAAAAAUAAGGUAACUUCAAUGUACUUUUGGCCUUGAGUUUCACUCUGGUUCUCGUGAAUUUAUUCGGGGUCUCGUUUACUGUAAUAAAAAAGUGCCUUUGUUCAUAUACACUCGUUAUAAUGUACCUGUAAUAUAUUUUAAUAUGUAUGUACUAGUUGAAUCCAAAUAAGAAAUUUUCAAUAAUAAAAGUUUGUAUCUCAAAUCAACCCAUUUAUAAACUUCCCUGUCUCUAAAAACAACACAUAUAUCCGAGAAACUAUUAUACAUUUAUUAACAAGU
Molecule: RNA transcript, 8845 nt
Organism: Amyelois transitella
Lineage: Eukaryota; Metazoa; Arthropoda; Insecta; Lepidoptera; Pyralidae
Exons: 4
Source: RefSeq, a predicted model, not a curated record